This 614-nucleotide ribosomal RNA is filed under the name Acinetobacter johnsonii. RNAcentral's name for it is "bacterial SSU rRNA". It matches the Rfam family "Bacterial small subunit ribosomal RNA", at positions 58 to 666 of the family's 1533-position model. The record is from RNAcentral. Lineage: Bacteria; Pseudomonadati; Pseudomonadota; Gammaproteobacteria; Moraxellales; Moraxellaceae.
CAAGUCGAGCGGGGAAGGUUGCUUCGGUAACUGACCUAGCGGCGGACGGGUGAGUAAUGCUUAGGAAUCUGCCUAUUAGUGGGGGACAACGUUCCGAAAGGAACGCUAAUACCGCAUACGCCCUACGGGGGAAAGCAGGGGAUCUUCGGACCUUGCGCUAAUAGAUGAGCCUAAGUCGGAUUAGCUAGUUGGUGGGGUAAAGGCCUACCAAGGCGACGAUCUGUAGCGGGUCUGAGAGGAUGAUCCGCCACACUGGGACUGAGACACGGCCCAGACUCCUACGGGAGGCAGCAGUGGGGAAUAUUGGACAAUGGGCGGAAGCCUGAUCCAGCCAUGCCGCGUGUGUGAAGAAGGCCUUUUGGUUGUAAAGCACUUUAAGCGAGGAGGAGGCUCCUUUAGUUAAUACCUAAAGUGAGUGGACGUUACUCGCAGAAUAAGCACCGGCUAACUCUGUGCCAGCAGCCGCGGUAAUACAGAGGGUGCGAGCGUUAAUCGGAUUUACUGGGCGUAAAGCGUGCGUAGGCGGCUUUUUAAGUCGGAUGUGAAAUCCCUGAGCUUAACUUAGGAAUUGCAUUCGAUACUGGAAAGCUAGAGUAUGGGAGAGGAUGGUACGC